RNAcentral lists this ribosomal RNA (423 nucleotides) under uncultured bacterium. RNAcentral describes it as "bacterial SSU rRNA". It matches the Rfam family "Bacterial small subunit ribosomal RNA", at positions 378 to 793 of the family's 1533-position model. The record is from RNAcentral.
CAAGCCUGAUGCAGCCAUGCCGCGUGUAUGAAGAAGGCCUUCGGGUUGUAAAGUACUUUCAGCAGUGAGAAGGUGGGUAUGUUAAUAGCAUACUCAUUUGACGUUAGCUGCAGAAGAAGCACCGGCUAACUCCGUGCCAGCAGCCGCGGUAAUACGGAGGGUGCGAGCGUUAAUCGGAAUUACUGGGCGUAAAGCGCAUGCAGGUGGUUUGUUAAGUCAGAUGUGAAAGCCCGGGGCUCAACCUCGGAAUUGCAUUUGAAAACUGGCAAACUAGAGUACUGUAGAGGGGGUAGGAAUUUCAGGUGUAGCGGUGAAAUGCGUAGAGAUCUGAAGGAAUACCGGUGGCGAAGGCGGCCCCCUGGACAGAUACUGACACUCAGAUGCGAAAGCGUGGGGAGCAAACAGGAUUAGAUACCCUGGUAG